Homo sapiens (human) is the source of this 2183-nucleotide long non-coding RNA. Ensembl annotates it as long intergenic non-protein coding RNA 2894. The record is from Ensembl. Lineage: Eukaryota; Metazoa; Chordata; Mammalia; Primates; Hominidae.
ACAGGUGGCAGCUCUCGUCCCCUGAGAGCGGGCGAAGGCCAGGGUCCCACACUCGCAGCGCUGCGACGGCGCUCGGGACCUCCCUCGUCCACUGCUUGAGUUCCAGAGGUGGGUGCUUCCCUGUCCUGAACUUCAGAGUGCGGAGUCAUAAAUGGGUUCCGGCUGGCUUACUGCAGUAGCCUCGCUCCUCCCCAGCCCCGGUAACUCCGAGCUACCCGUCCAGGCCCUCGGGCGUCGCGGGGGCAGGGACUGGGCGCGGAACGAGGCAGGGAGGGACCUGGAAAAACCACCCAGAUUGCAUUGCAGUGGGCGAGGCCGCCUGGAGGAGCCGGUUCCCCCUAACCACCUCCCCGUGGGGCUCUCGGUGCGCGGUUCCCAGGUGCUCAGCUCUGCUGGGCCCAGGAGGUGCCGCCUCACAGGGACGCGGAACCCCGUGCGUGGCCCCCGCCGGGUGGAACAGAUAGCGCGGGGCGGUCCGGAGGCUCGUCGCCAAGCAGGUGACUCUUGCUGAAAAAGUGGUUGGAACACUUGAGGAAACCCGGCCCCGCCUGUUCUUUCUAGGUCUUUGGAGUUUGGAUUAAUCAUUUGUGUAGCCCGUUUGGAUAAACCGAAGACUUUAUUAAAUCAGCGCGUUUAACAGGAAUUCCGCAGUAGUAUCCACAUUAGAAUCUUGAGUCUUGGAGUUGAACAUAUUCACACAGACUUGCCUUCUUCCUGUUUAGUUUAUGCCUUGUGUUCCGUUAUUGGAACGCUAAGCUUGUGGGAGUUGUUUACAUCCUACUGCUCAAGGUCAUCGCUAAGGUGUGAUUUUUCACAAAAAGAAUUUGCAACCUCCGGCAUGAAUGACUUAAGGGAAGUCUAAUCCCGGUUUCUGAUUUUUUUUUUUUUUUUAAUUUAAAAGUUAAUCUUUCUGGGCCGGGCGCGGUGGCUCACGCCUGUAAUCCCAGCACUUUGGGAGGCCGAGGCGGAUCACGAGGUCAGGAGUUCGAGACCAGCCUGACCAACAUGGUGAAACCCCGUCUCUACUAAAAACACAAAAAUUAGCCGGGCGGGGUGGCGCGCACCUGUAAUCCCAGCUGCUCGGGAGGCUGAGGCAGGAGAAUCGCUUGAACCUGGGAGGCGGGGGGUUGCAGUGAGCCGAGAUCUGGCCAUUGCACUCCAGCGUGGGCAACAGAGUGAGACUCCAUCUCAAAAAAAAAGGUUAAUCUUUCCAACUAGAUUUUCAAGGAUGAGGAUUUUGUUGUUGUUGUUGUUGUUGUUCUCAAAUGUAUUCCCAGGGCUUGGAACAGAGCCUGACAUAUACUAGGCACUCAACAAAUAUUUGUUGAAUGAUUGUAAUGAGUAACACCCAUUUUUGCAGAUCUUUGUCUUCUGAGCCUAGGGCAUAGGUCAUCACUGCAGGGGUGAGAUUGUCAAAAUGGGAGUCUACAGGUAAUUUAAGACUUAAAUGUUUAAAGAGUAUGUGCUCAUUCUUCAACAAACUUACUUUUGUUAAAUUAAAAUGGUAAAAUGUGGUGGAGGGGUUGGAAUAUAUGUAAUUCAAGACAGUUCUGAAUACAAAAAUGUUUUACUGUCUAUCACCACCAUCUAUAAAUCUAAUUCACUAAGGAUAAUCUGUGUAAGGUGGCUGGAAAGAACCUUGAGGAGAGAGGCUUAUUUAAGUAUUGGCUCAGGACCACACCUAAAAUUCUCAAAACGUUGAGAUUCUGUUGUUUUGUUUUUAAGCGCCAGAGACCCAAGUUGAGGAACAGCCUAUAAAAUAACUGGCCUGUACUCUUACAUACAUGAAAGCCAUCAAAGACAAAGACUGAAGAAGAACUUUUGCAGAUUAAAGGACUUUAAGAGACAUGAUCCUGAACCAGAAAAAGUAAAAAAUAAAAAAAUAAAAAGAUCUGUAGAUUAGAUAAUAGUUUUAUAUCCAUGUUAAUUUCCCAUUUGUUGUAAUAUUACUGUGGUUGGGCAAGAGAGUGUCUUUGUUGGUGGAAGUAUCUACUGAAGUAUUUAGGGGUAAAGAGGAAUCAUGUCUGUAACUUAUGCUCAAAAGGUUCAGACAAAAUAUAUGUAAAGGGAAUGAUAAAGCAAACGCAAUAAAAUGUUAACAUUGGGGAAUCUGUAUAAGGGAAUUAUUAACUUUUCUGUAAGUCUAAAAUUAUUUCAAAUUAAAAAUAAUUUUUUUAAGCCUC